CUUACUGACUUGUCAUCAAUCUAGGAAACUCAGGCCUGCGAGCUUGCUCAAAAGCACUGUCACAGGUGGUGCAUGGCUGUCGUCAGCUCGUGUCGUGAGAUGUUGGGUUAAGUCCCGCAACAGGCGCAACCCCUAUCAUUAGUUGCCAGCGGUUCGGCCGGGGACUCUAAUGAGACUGCUGGGAUAACCAGGAGAAAGGUGGGGAUGAUGUCAAGUCAGUAUGUCCCUUAUCGGUAGGGCUACACACGUGCUACAAUGGCUGGUACAAAGAGBGAGACCGCGAGGUGGAGCUAAUCUCAUAAAACCAGUCUCAGUUCGGAUUGGAGUCUGCAACUCGACUCCAUGAAGUUGGAAUCGCUAGUAAUCGUGAAUCAGCACGCCACGGUGAAUACGCUCCCGGGCCUU
This 405-nucleotide ribosomal RNA is filed under the name uncultured bacterium. Its description in RNAcentral is "bacterial SSU rRNA". It matches the Rfam family "Bacterial small subunit ribosomal RNA", at positions 970 to 1382 of the family's 1533-position model. The record is from RNAcentral.